RNAcentral lists this ribosomal RNA (380 nucleotides) under uncultured eukaryote. RNAcentral's name for it is "SSU rRNA". It matches the Rfam family "Eukaryotic small subunit ribosomal RNA", at positions 587 to 972 of the family's 1831-position model. The record is from RNAcentral.
AGCUCCAGUAGCGUAUAUUAAAGUUGUUGCAGUUAAAAAGCUCGUAGUCGAACUUCGGGCCUGGCGGGAUGGUCUGCCUUACGGUAUGUACUGUCUGGCCGGGUCUUACCUCUUGGUGAGGCCGUAUGCCCUUCAUUGGGUGUGCGGUGGAACCAGGAAUUUUACCUUGAGAAAAUUAGAGUGUUCAAAGCAGGCAAUUGCCCGAAUACAUUAGCAUGGAAUAAUAGAAUAGGACGUGCGGUUCUAUUUUGUUGGUUUCUAGGAUCGCCGUAAUGAUUAAUAGGAACGGUCGGGGGCAUUAGUAUUCCGUUGCUAGAGGUGAAAUUCUUAGAUUUACGGAAGACUAACAACUGCGAAAGCAUUUGCCAAGGACGUUUUCA